Carassius carassius (crucian carp) is the source of this 360-nucleotide long non-coding RNA. RefSeq lists it as uncharacterized. The transcript is spliced from 3 exons. Lineage: Eukaryota; Metazoa; Chordata; Actinopteri; Cypriniformes; Cyprinidae. The record is from RefSeq and is a predicted model, not a curated record.
CAGAUGUUGGGAACAUCAACACUAUCUAUACAACUAUCACACCAGAGACCAAUUCAUCUGAACCAUGUGGUGGCAAUAUGACAGAUUGGAGUGGUGUAUUACACAGUCCCCGAUACCCUAAUAACUACCCUAAUAACGCACAAUGCACCUGGACCAUUCACAGCACAGGGAAUGCAACUGUGUCACUGAUCUUCACUGACGUUGAUUUGGAAACAUGCUGUGAUUACAUCAAAGUAUAUGAUGGUCCUUCUACCCUCCAUCCAUUUCUGGGAGAAAUACGGGAGUACAGGAACCAGUCUUUCAAUUCCAGCAGCAAUGAUCUGACUGUGUUUUUCUACAGUGAUCACAGUGUAACACGUG